CCUACGGGCGGCAGCAGUGGGGAAUAUUGGACAAUGGGGGGAACCCUGAUCCAGCCAUGCCGCGUGUGUGAAGAAGGCCCUCGGGUUGUAAAGCACUUUCAGUGAGGAAGAACGCCUGGUGGUUAAUACCCAUCAGGAAAGACAUCACUCACAGAAGAAGCACCGGCUAACUCCGUGCCAGCAGCCGCGGUAAUACGGAGGGUGCGAGCGUUAAUCGGAAUUACUGGGCGUAAAGCGCGCGUAGGUGGCUUGAUAAGCCGGUUGUGAAAGCCCCGGGUUCAACCUGGGAACGGCAUCCGGAACUGUCAAGCUAGAGUGCAGGAGAGGAAGGUAGAAUUCCCGGUGUAGCGGUGAAAUGCGUAGAGAUCGGGAGGAAUACCAGUGGCGAAGGCGGCCUUCUGGACUGACACUGACACUGAGGUGCGAAAGCGUGGGUAGCAAACAGGAUUAGAUACCCCGGUAGUC
Molecule: ribosomal RNA, 465 nt
Filed under: Vreelandella stevensii
Lineage: Bacteria; Pseudomonadati; Pseudomonadota; Gammaproteobacteria; Oceanospirillales; Halomonadaceae
Description: partial 16S ribosomal RNA
Rfam family: Bacterial small subunit ribosomal RNA
Source: RNAcentral